RNAcentral lists this ribosomal RNA (450 nucleotides) under uncultured prokaryote. Its description in RNAcentral is "bacterial SSU rRNA". It matches the Rfam family "Bacterial small subunit ribosomal RNA", at positions 355 to 796 of the family's 1533-position model. The record is from RNAcentral.
UAGGGAAUCUUCCGCAAUGGACGAAAGUCUGACGGAGCAACGCCGCGUGAGCGAAGAAGGCCUUCGGGUCGUAAAGCUCUGUUGUUAGGGAAGAACAAGUACCGUUCAAAUAGGGCGGUACCUUGACGGUACCUAACCAGAAAGCCACGGCUAACUACGUGCCAGCAGCCGCGGUAAUACGUAGGUGGCAAGCGUUGUCCGGAAUUAUUGGGCGUAAAGCGCGCGCAGGCGGUUUCUUAAGUCUGAUGUGAAAGCCCACGGCUCAACCGUGGAGGGUCAUUGGAAACUGGGAGACUUGAGUGCAGAAGAGGAAAGCGGAAUUCCAAGUGUAGCGGUGAAAUGCGUAGAGAUUUGGAGGAACACCAGUGGCGAAGGCGGCUUUCUGGUCUGUAACUGACGCUGAGGCGCGAAAGCGUGGGGAGCAAACAGGAUUAGAUACCCCCGUAGUCC